Molecule: long non-coding RNA, 5711 nt
Organism: Juglans regia (Persian walnut)
Lineage: Eukaryota; Viridiplantae; Streptophyta; Magnoliopsida; Fagales; Juglandaceae
Exons: 3
Source: RefSeq, a predicted model, not a curated record
UCCACAACAGACCUCUCAGCUUUCUGACUCUCUCAAACGAUUCAAAACCCUAGGGGUCGUGACUCCGUAGCUGCCAGGCUUACCUCUCCAGCCCCUCCCUCCGUCCGUUGCAUCCGCUCCCCUCUCCAAGCACUUCAUUGCAUACCUUCCCCUUCUCCAGCCCAUCCGUCGCAUACCCUCCCACAAACUAGCCCCUUCGUCGUGAUUCGCAGCCCCUGCCAGGCUACCCUCUCUAGUCCCUCUGUCGCUUCCUGGCAUCAAUUUGAAGCAUACCAUUCCCAGUACUGCUGUUGCUACUAUAAGUCGUGCUCAUUCAGAAGAUGAGUGUCAUCCACUUUCUCUAAAUUAGUUACAUAAAGUUUGACCUAAUUAGUCUAGAAUAUUCUUUCCCCUUUCUAUUUCUGUUUUACUUGUUGCACUGACACCAACUAUUGGUUCUGUUGUUAGGAUAGAGGUAGCUGAUUCUGUGAUGCAGACUACUCAAAUUGCUGUAUAUAUAUUUUUGGUUUUCCUGUAUAAAAGGCAUGAUUGAAUCGAAUACAGAAGAAAAUUUUUCCUCCUCUUGCCUUCUUUUCCCUUUUCUUACAUGGUAUCAAGAGCCCAGGUUUGUUUCUUGCUCUUGAUUUCCUUUUUACUUCUUCUACAAUGGAACAACCAAAGAUGACACAAAAACCCCUUCCCCCUUCCUCAAUUUUAGUGAUCCAAACAACCCGUACAGAAUUGAUAGUGGAGACAAUACCACCAUCACACUCGUAACUGACCUUCUUACAUAAGAAAACUAUGUGACUUGGUCCUGAGCCAUGCGACGGGCCCUCAGAGCAAGGAAUAAACUAGGUUUUAUCAAUGGUAGCCUCUGCAAACCUGCUUCAUCUAAGGAUACCUUAUUUAGUGCAUGGGAGCGAUGCAACGACAUGAUUGUGACUUGGAUUCAGAACUCCAUCAGCACCACAGUGAAGUCAAGUGUAGCCUUUGGGGAUGAACUCGCUGUGUAUGAUCCAAUGCCUACCUGCACAUGUGGACAACUAACCAUUAUGAAUGCUAGAUAUCAAAGGGACAACGUAAUCCAAUUUCUCAUGGGAUUAAAUGAUAAGUACUCUAAUGUUAGAGACCAGAUUAUGAUGAUAGACCCAAUUCCUUCUGUUAAUAAAGUUUUCUCACUUAUACAGCUGCAAGAACAACACCACCAGAUCAUAUCUGCUUUCCCAAACCCUGAGUCCAUGGCCUUAGCCACCCACUGUCGCAUACAAGGACAUACCCUUGAGACUUGUUUUAAAGUUGGAAAUGCACAAGUGCCUAGCUAUACUCAUUGUAAGCAAAUUGGUCAUGUAGCUGAAAAAUGUUAUAAGCUACACGGUUACCCUCCAAGUCACAAGUUUUACAAGGGGAAGAAUGUUGGAUCCUAUGUUAAUCAAGUGAGUCUAAUUUCAGAUUCUAACUAGGAAGAAAUUAAUGAAAACCAAGUGAGUUUCACUAAAGCACAAUAUUAGCAGCUUAUGGCUUUACUUCAAAGCAAGGAUACUUCGACUGCUUGCCCUUCUGUGAACUAUGCUCAAGUUAUUCAUCAACCUGUGAGCCAAAAGCUUCCAAAAUCUAUGGCAUUCCUUUUGCCCUUUCAUCUUUUGCACGUAAAUCCAUUUAUCAUACUGAUAUACCUUGGAUCAUAGACUCGGGUGCAACAGAUCAUAUGAUAUGUAGUACUACAUUUUUUUCUUCAAAUAUUUCCAAGGUUUCAUACUCUGUUAAACUCCCAAAUGGAACCUCUAUUCCUGUUAGUCACCUAGGGAAUGUGCAAGUCACUAAUAACAUCCUACUAAAGGAUGCUUUAUGUGUACCUUCUUCUUGUUUCAAUUUAAUUUCAGUAAAAAGACUAACAAAAUCACUUACCUGUUGUUUGGUUUUUAUGUCUAAUCACUGUUUCAUCCAGGACCUUUCCACUUGGACAACGAUUGGGAUGGUUGAAGUCAAAGGCAGCCUAUAUCAUCUCUUGCCGGUGGUUAUCUAUCCAAAUGCCUUUAUUGAAGCCUUAUCUUCCUUACCCUUUAACUCUAAACCUUUUGCUGCUUCUGUCAUGACUGGUAGUAAUAGUUCUGAACUUUGGCAUUGUCGCCUUGGUCAUGCCUCAAAUUCUAGAUUGGUUUUGAUUGAUGAUUCAAAUGUAAAAAGACAAUUUCAAUGUUAGUAAAAUUUCUCCUUGUCCAGUUUAUCCUAUUGCUAGGCAACACAGAAAUUCUUUUCCUAUCAGCCAUCACAAGUCUACUUCUAUUUUUGAUUUAGUACAUGUUGACAUUUGGGGCCCAUGUUCAAUACUUGCCUAUGAUGGAACCAAGUAUUUUCUGACUCUUGUAGAUGAUUUUUCAUGAACAACUUGGGUUUAUUUACUGCAUGCAAAAUCAGAAACUAGAACUUACAUUGAAUCAUUUUAUAAUAUGGCAGCAACCCAAUUUGACACCAAAAUCAAGUUAUUCGAAGUGAUAAUGGGGCUGAUUUUCAAAUGGUUGAAUUUUUUAAUAAAAAAGUCAUCAUUCACCAACGUUCUUGUGUUGAAACACCUCAAUAAAAUGGCAUUGUUGAGAGAAAACAUCAACGCAUUCUUAAUGUUGCAAGAGCAUUAAGUUUUCAGUCAGGAUUACCUUUACAUUUUUGGAAUGAUUGCAUUUUGACAACUGUCUAUCUUAUUAAUAGAACUCCUACCCCUAUUCUUGACAGCAAAACCUCAUAUGAAAUUUUAUUUUCCACUAAACCUACAUACCAUCAUCUUAAAGUUUUUGGAUGCUUGUGUUUUGCAACUACCUUGUCCCAUGGUCGUAAGAGAUUUGAUCCAAGAGGCAAAAAAUGCAUGUUCCUAAGCUAUCCUUUCGGGGUCAAGGGAUAUAAGCUACUUGACUUAGAGUCUCAUACUACAUUUGUUUCUAGAGAUGUUAGUUUUAUGAAAAUUCUUUUCCUUUUCUUAACACUUCUCACUCUGAUCAUCCACCUAUUAUUUCCCAACCUCCACCUAUUUUUACUGCACCUAAACUAGAUUCACUUGAUUCUUCAACCUUUUCUCCUACUUUACCUACACCUACCAUUGAUCCUUCUCCAACUCCAUUAGUUUCAUCUGUUGAACCACCUACAAACAACACUUGUCCACCCCCUAUACUUUUCGUUCCAUACCAUCUGCACCCAUUUCUGAAACUACAUAUACUGUUUCUUCAUCUUCACCUUAUCUUCGAAGAUCAACCAGAACUAGAAAUGCACCUACCUACCUCCAAGACUUCCACUGUCAACAGGCUUCUUUGGCCUCAACAUCACAAUCUUUGGCUCAGGUAACUCCAUCUUCUACUUGUCUAUUCCCUUUUACGUAACUACUUGACCUAUCAGCAUUUCUCUCCCACUUUUCAAGCCUUUUCUUCAUCUCUCUCUACUGUUUGUGAGCCAACCUCCUAUUCUCAAGCAAUCAAAGAUCCCGAUUGGUGUAAAGCCAUGAAUGCUGAGUUAGAUGCUUUGGAACAAAACAAAACUUGGAUCCUUUCAGACCUUCCUCUUGGUAAAGAAUCUAUAGACUGCAAGUAUGUAUAUAGAGUAAAAAGAAACUCAGAUGGUAGUGUGGAAAGGUUGAAGGCCCGAUUGGUGGCUAAGGGUUACACCCAACAAGAGGGGAUUGACUAUACUGAAACAUUCUCAUCAGUGGCUAAAAUGGUGACUAUCCGCUAUCUUUUAUCUAUAGCUACCAUUCAUGGAUGACAUUUACAUCAAUUUGGUGUAAAUAAUGCCUUCCUCCAUAGUGACUUGGAAGAAGAAAUCUUUAUGAACAGCCACCAAGAUAUUCUAAAGGUGGUCCUCACCAAGUCUGCAAACUUCAAAGGAGUUUUUAUGGAUAAAAACAAGCAUCAAGACAGUUGUAUGCCAAACUUACUGCUUGCAUGUUAAAUUUUGGUUUUUCCCAAUCCAAAGCAGAUUAUAGUUUAUUCAUUAAAGCUACUGAUAGCUCUUUUACAGCUCUUCUAGUGUACGUUGAUGAUAUUUUGAUAGCCAUUGACUCUCUUGAUUCUAUAGCUGCUCUCAAAAUUUUUCUCAAUGACAAUUUUAAGAUCAAAGAUCUUGGCCCUCUUCGAUUUUUUCUUGGCACUGAGGUGGCCAGAUCUUCUAAGGGAAUUCAUAUUUAUCAGCGCAAGUAUGCCUUAGAAAUACUUGCAGACUCUGGCUAUUUGGGAUCUAAACCAGUCAAGGUUCCAAUGGACCAAAAUUUGAAGCUCAACAAAGAUUUUGGUCUUGAGUUUCAGGACCGCUCUUCCUAUCAUAGAUUAGUUGGAAGGCUUCUAUACUUGACAAUAACUCGCCUUGAUCUUAGCUUUGCAGUCCACACACUCAGUCAAUUCAUGUCAAGGCCAAUCACGACUCACAUGGCUGCUGCUCACAAGGUCUUAAGGUACCAAAAGGCUGCUCCUGGCCAAGGACUCCUUCUUGCUGCUCACUCUUCUUUGCAAUUAGUUGCCUACUGUGACUUUGACUGGGCUUCUUGCCCUGACACUCGGAGGUCAGUCACAGGAUACUGCAUUCACCUUGGCAACUCACUGGUUUCAUGGAAAUCUAAAAAGCAGACAGUGGUUUCAAGGUCCUUUGCAGAAACCGAGUACAGGUCUAUGGCUGCAACAUGUGUUGAAAUCACUUGGCUUAAAUUUUUUCUUGUUGACUUUCAUGUUCUUCAUCCACAAGCUGCCCACCUUUUCUGUGGUAAUUAGGCCGCCAUCCACAUCGUUGCAAAUCCAGUUUUUCACGAGUACACCAAACACAUAGAAUUGGAUUGCCAUCUCAUUUGAGAUAAAAUCAUGGAUGGUUCCAUCUCCACAUCUCCUGUUCCCACCCAUCUACAAGUUGCUGACCUUCUCACUAAGGCUUUCCCUUCAACUCUCCUCUCACCUACUCAAGAUGUGAAUAGUAUACUACUAUUCUCCAUCUUGUGGGGGGUAUUGCAGCAUACCAUUCCUAGUACUGUUGUUGCUGCUACAAGUCAUGCUCAUUCAGAAGAUGGGUGUCGUCCACUUUCUCUAAAUUAGUUACAUAAAGUUGGACCUAAUUAGUCUAGAAUAUUCUUUCCCCUUUCUAUUUCUGUUUUACUUGUUUUGCUGUACACCAAUUAUUGGUUCUGUUAUUUUUCUUGUUAGGAUAGUGGUAGCUGAUUCUGUGAUGCAGACAACUCAAAUUGUUGUAUAUAUAUUUUUGGUUUUCUUGUACAAAAGGAAUGAUUGAAUCGAAUACAGAAGAAAAAUUUUCCUCCUCUUGCCUUCUUUUUCCUUUUCUUACAGUUAUACUUUGAUUUGUUUUUAUUUUGUUGCUCUUGUACAUUGAUUUGGUUAACUUUUUUUGGCCUGGUUGGAUGGAAGUGUGUAGGCAAUCAAGUGUGUUCUGACUUGUGUAAUUAAAUAACCAAUGUGACGAUGUGUCAAGAUCUCAAGGACCCGCGCCCAGUCGACUGGUGGAGGUUGAGUAGUCUGUAGUGAGAAGGCGGCAAUGAGGCACUAAUAACUUCUGUUAUCCACUCUGUGGACGUAAUCUUAGACAUCAUAGCUAAGUUGGGUGAGUGGCUCAACAACUUAAUGCUGUAUUUUUGUUUCCAGGCUAUAUUUAUGUACCUCUGUCUCUAGUACUUAUGUUGUUACAGACCUGUUGGACAAGUUCUGUAACCAUUAUGGAUAUUUGUCAUUAUGUGAAGGUUUUGAAGUAUGUCUAUG